UGGGGAAUUUUGGACAAUGGGCGAAAGCCUGAUCCAGCAAUGCCGCGUGUGUGAAGAAGGCCUUCGGGUUGUAAAGCACUUUUGUCCGGAAAGAAAUCCUUGGCUCUAAUACAGUCGGGGGAUGACGGUACCGGAAGAAUAAGCACCGGCUAACUACGUGCCAGCAGCCGCGGUAAUACGUAGGGUGCAAGCGUUAAUCGGAAUUACUGGGCGUAAAGCGUGCGCAGGCGGUUUGCUAAGACCGAUGUGAAAUCCCCGGGCUCAACCUGGGGAACUGCAUUGGUGACUGGCAGGCUAGAGUAUGGCAGAGGGGGGUAGAAUUCCACGUGUAGCAGUGAAAUGCGUAGAGAUGUGGAGGAAUACCGAUGGCGAAGGCAGCCCCCUGGGCCAAAUACUGACGCUCAUGCACGAAAGCGUGGGGAGCAAACAGGAUUAGAUACCCUGGGUAGUCCACGCCCUAAACGAUGUCAACUAGUUGUGGGGAUUCAUUUCCUUAGUAACGUAGCUAACGCGUGAAGUUGACCGCCUGGGGAGUACGGUCGCAAGAUUAAAACUCAAAGGAAUUGACGGGGU
RNAcentral lists this ribosomal RNA (573 nucleotides) under uncultured bacterium. Its description in RNAcentral is "partial 16S ribosomal RNA". It matches the Rfam family "Bacterial small subunit ribosomal RNA", at positions 355 to 919 of the family's 1533-position model. The record is from RNAcentral.